RNAcentral lists this small RNA (77 nucleotides) under Xanthomonas arboricola pv. populi. RNAcentral describes it as "sX9 sRNA". It matches the Rfam family "Xanthomonas sRNA sX9". Lineage: Bacteria; Pseudomonadati; Pseudomonadota; Gammaproteobacteria; Lysobacterales; Lysobacteraceae. The record is from RNAcentral.
AUGUACCACUCGUACAUGUCGGUUUUGAGCGCGUCGUUCGCACCCACCUGACGACCGCCCGCGACGUUUUGUCAGCC